UGAGGAAAAAUCGGCAAGGAUUGUUGACGACUUUUAUGUGAUCGUUGUAAUCAUUAUUCCGUUGUAUUCUUUUCAAUUACUGAUAUUUAGCGACUGCCAAUCGAGCAAUUGCUGGUUAAUUCCGUCAAGAAGAAAAGAAAGCAAUCCCAAGAUUUUCACAAUGGGUGACUCCCAGGAUCAGAACGAACCCCCGAAGGACCCAAAGGAGUUAGAAAAACUAGAAGAAGCUAAGCUAAAGGCAAAGUUCCCAAAUGCCAUGUUGGGACGUGGCCCCGGGGGACACUCGGCAUUCUUGCAAAAAAGACUUGCUAAAGGACAAAAGUUCUUCGACUCCGGCGACUACCAGAUGGCAAAGCAGCGGCCAGGGAACCUAGCAGCGCCCUUCAAGGCCCCAGCCGCGCCCGCCAAGCAGCCAACGGGCGACGCCAUCCCUACACCAGAAACCGUGCCCGUCCGCAAAACCUCCAUUAUCCAGCCCAAGUUCCAGCAAUCCAGCCAGACCUCCUAGCCCGCCGUUAAGUGACAGGAUUUUGUCUGUUAGCCUGACCAGACUUUCAGGGAUGUUUUGAGCAUUUUCUUGUUUACAGACAUUCAAUCUUCAUUCUAGUUCUCUGAUUUGACAGGCUUGGAACUAUAAAUUAAGUCUCAAGAUUGACUUUUAAGCAACAGGCAAUUUCUUGGUAUUCAGUGUUUUGAACCGGUUUUGAGCAUUCUCUGUUAGUCUGGACGGGCUCUAAUAGUUAUCAAAAGUGUUUCUUAACACAGAUUUCUUUUAAAUCCUAAUAAUAAUCUUGUCCAACCAGAAUUUAGAAACACUCUUGUUAAUACACAAUAGAAUUUAACAAUUUAUAUUUGCUUUUCUAGAUGUAGAAUAAAUGAAUGGUGACUGCACUAUAUUCAAUGAUUGCCAACCCUGCAAGCAUAAGAGAGAUAUUUUUGUCACGCUAUUAUUCUACUUUACUUUUUGCUAUGGCUAAUGCAUUGAAUUUUCGUAUAAGCACCUUUUUUUCCAGGGUCUGAUUAUUCAGGCUGGGACCUAAGGCUGUCUUUGGGGUCCAACCCUAUCAGACCCUAAUUUUGUGUUAGUGUGAAACAUCACUUAAAUUAAGAAUGUAGGUUGCCAGAGCUGGAGUUCCAACAACAAAAGUAUUGCUGAUGGCCGGGGAUUGACUGAACUAGACAUGCUUCUAGGUUAGUUUUCUCCAAUAAUGUAGCGAUGUGUUUUUUAGCUGGGUAAAUGUUAGAGCCAGCACUUAAAUGUGAUAAUUCAUAAAUAAACUUAAAAAAUUAGGGGUUUGCCAGUAUAAACAUCAUCUGGAUUUACUUGGUUUGAUUUUAAAUUAUGAUUCUAUUAAUUGUAUUCGUAACAUGUCAUUUUAAAAUGGUGUCUAAACUUGCAGCUUCCCCUGCUCCUGAAUACUUUAAAAAUGACAAUUAGAACAAAUUAAAGUAUUAUUAAAAAUAAUUUAAUUUGUGUUAUUUCAAGUAGAAACAACUAUAUAAAUUGUGACCUGGGUGGCCGAGGGGCCGAGGCACCUGCUGCGAUAGCAGAGGAUGCUGCUGGUUCGAUUCCAGCCCGGGGUCCUGGAGGCCUUGGUCACUUUCUUAGUGUAUGUUUUUAUUGGAUUUAUACUUUUAAGUUAUUUAGAGGGUUGAAUUUGAGAGCAUUUCAAGCAUGUUAGAUGUAAAGAAUACCCAGCUUUGGAGGGACACCAUUUCACUAAGCACUGAUUGUUGAUGUAUUAACUAUAAACAUGUGAUUAAUGUUCGGUCGUAAUUAGGGAUGUAUGUUGAAAUUUAAAUCUUAUAAGAACAACGUUAUAUUUUUAUGUAUAAAAUUUAGGCAUAGUCUUUGGGAUUUAAUAAUAGAAAAUAAAGAUUGAAAUCACACCAUCCGCAACUGCUCCAUAAAUUGCAACUACAGGAACUUCUUAAUGUUUCUAAUAAGUUCAUAGUGCAGCUAACACAAAUUGUGCAACGCACACUAUGGAUUAACGUUAAAAAAACAUCCUGAAACUUGGGCCGAUUUUUAACUUGUAUUUUUUUUUUCUCAGAUUUCGGUAGUUUUGGUAGUAUGUACAUGGGACCUAUGUACCUAUCUGUACAAUAUAAGCGCAAUUUCACUUUAUCUCCUUCACGAAAACGUAUGGUAUUUUCGUGGAUCAACGGAGAACUGCAUACAUUUUGGGACACACUUUGAUCCUCCCAGAAUAAGAAACUCUUCAAACUGACUAAAUUUUAUCGAAAUCUGACGAAAAAAAACUGCAAUAAAAUAAAAAU
Molecule: RNA transcript, 2280 nt
Organism: Cydia splendana
Lineage: Eukaryota; Metazoa; Arthropoda; Insecta; Lepidoptera; Tortricidae
Gene: endos
Gene name: cAMP-regulated phosphoprotein 19
Exons: 5
Source: RefSeq, a predicted model, not a curated record